GUAACAUUUUUAUAUAUCAGUUAAGGAAACAUUUAAAUUAAAACAAUAAUCCUAAUACUAAAAAGAAGAAAUAAUUAAAUAUUUUGCAUCCUGUGUGUGAGAACAAUGUAUUUUUUUAAAUUUAUGACUUUGGUACUUCAUCUAAGUAAGAGUGGGGCUUUCUUCAGUAAGUUAUAGGUGUGAAACACGAAACUUGAUGAACGAUUUUGUUCCUAAAAAUUUAUGAUCCGUUGUUCUACUUGAAAACAUAGUAACACGUAGGUACAUUUUGGGGUUUUUUUGUUGUUUUUUGGUACCAGGGAUUGAACUCAGGACCUUGCGCUUUCGAGGCAGGAGGAGGCACCACUGAGCUAAAUCCCUGGCCCACAGAUUUAGCGAGGUCUGGAGCUACUGGUGUGGAAUGGGACAUAAGAACUGUGAGCCUCGGACAGCAGCCCUUUACCAGGUAUUUGGAGGUUGACCUGGACUUAGCUGUGUUAAGCUGCCUGCACCACAGGAAACCACCUCCCUCGCUGCUGCUUGCUGCUUUCUCUUUAGCCAACACCCAAAGCCACUGCCAGUGUCAGGGAGAUGAGACUUCACAGGUGUCAUAAAUGAUGGUGAAAGAAGAUCUCAUAGGACAGGAUGAGAAUUUUGGCUUCUUGUACCCAGAGAAUCAGCCACAAAGAAUGAGGAACUACCUGUGUUAUGACCUUGAGCAAGUCCCUUGACUCCUCUGGGCUUCAUUUCUCUCUUCUGUUCACCACUUGAUUUUGGAGUCUAAUGCAGUACAAGUUUGCUAGUGACAAGAAAAGCCAAUAGUGAAGCAAACUGGGAUUAUUAAGUUUCAGUCUAGAGAUUUUCCAUUGAUGGGACAGAAUGGUUAGUUUACCG
RNAcentral lists this long non-coding RNA (873 nucleotides) under Heterocephalus glaber (naked mole-rat). RNAcentral describes it as "lncRNA (ENSHGLG00100051171.1)". Lineage: Eukaryota; Metazoa; Chordata; Mammalia; Rodentia; Bathyergidae. The record is from RNAcentral.